This 421-nucleotide ribosomal RNA is filed under the name uncultured bacterium. Its description in RNAcentral is "partial 16S ribosomal RNA". It matches the Rfam family "Bacterial small subunit ribosomal RNA", at positions 360 to 773 of the family's 1533-position model. The record is from RNAcentral.
AAUAUUGGACAAUGGGGGCAACCCUGAUCCAGCCAUGCCGCGUGUGUGAAGAAGGUCUUCGGAUUGUAAAGCCCUUUAAGUUGGGAGGAAGGGCUUUAGGUUAACCCCCUGAAGUUUUGACGUUACCCACAGAAUAAGCACCGCCUAACUCUGUGCCACCAGCCCCGGUAAUACAGAGGGUGCAAGCGUUAAUCGGAAUUACUGCGCGUAAAGCGCGCGUAGGUGGUUCAGUAAGAUGGGUGUGAAAUCCCCGGGCUUAACCUGGGAACUGCUUUCAUAACUGCUGAGCUAGAGUACGGUAGAGGGUAGUGGAAUUUCCUGUGUAGCGGUGAAAUGCGUAGAUAUAGGAAGGAACACCAGUGGCGAAGGCGACUACCUGGACUGAUACUGACACUGAGGUGCGAAAGCGUGGGGAGCAAAC